Molecule: ribosomal RNA, 2239 nt
Filed under: Coprococcus sp. AF21-14LB
Lineage: Bacteria; Bacillati; Bacillota; Clostridia; Lachnospirales; Lachnospiraceae
Description: partial 23S ribosomal RNA
Rfam family: Bacterial large subunit ribosomal RNA
Source: RNAcentral
AGGUCCGGAGCCGAAGGGAAACCAAGUCUUAAUAGGGCGCCAAGUCAGCCGGAGUAGACCCGAAACCGGGUGAUCUAUCCAUGUCCAGGUUGAAGUUGCCGUAAAAGGCAAUGGAGGACCGAACCCACAUCCGUUGAAAAGGGUGGGGAUGAGGUGUGGAUAGGGGAGAAAUUCCAAUCGAACCCGGAGAUAGCUGGUUCUCCUCGAAAUAGCUUUAGGGCUAGCCUCGAUAGAGUCACACGGAGGUAGAGCACUGAAUUUCCUAGGGGGCGUCAAAGCUUACCGAAGAAUAUCAAACUCCGAAUGCCGUAGUGAUGCUUAUCGGGAGUCAGACUACACGAGAUAAGUUGGGUAGUCGAAAGGGAAAGAGCCCAGACCUGCAGCUAAGGUCCCAAAAUGUGUGUUAAGUGGAAAAGGAUGUGGGAUUUCAAAGACAACCAGGAUGUUGGCUUAGAAGCAGCCAUACAUUAAAAGAGUGCGUAAUAGCUCACUGGUCGAGAGGUCCUGCGCCGAAAAUGUCCGGGGCUGAAACACACUACCGAAGCUCAGGAAUCCUAUAAGGGAUUGGUAGAGGAGCAUUCUUAGGGCGGCGAAGCAGUACCGGAAGGAGCUGUGGAGCGUUAAGAAGAGAGAAUGCCGGAAUGAGUAGCGAGAUGGAGGUGGGAAUCCUCCAGGCCGAAUAUCUAAGGUUUCCAGAGUAAAGCUGAUCUGCUCUGGGUAAGUCGGGACCUAAGGCGAGGGCGAAAGCCGUAGUCGAUGGACAACAGGUUGAAAUUCCUGUACUGCAGUAUGACAGAACUGUGGGGACACGUGUGGAGAGCAUAAGCCGGGAAUGGAAAGACCGGCGCAAGCGAGGUAGGUGUCACAUAGGAAAAUCCGUGUGAUAAGCCGAAGACGUGAUGCGGAGUGAAACAUAAGUAACGAAGUAUGUGAGCCAUGCGUCAAGAAAAGCCGCUAUUGUUUGUACUGUACCCGUACCGUAAACCGACACAGGUGGAUGAGGAGAGAAUCCUAAGGCCGACGGGAGAAGCAUUGUUAAGGAACUCGGCAAAAUGACUCCGUAACUUCGGGAGAAGGAGUGCCAUGUAAAAGUGGCCGCAGAGAAUUGGCCCAAGCAACUGUUUAGCAAAAACACAGGUCUAUGCGAAACCGAAAGGUGAAGUAUAUGCUGACGCCUGCCCGGUGCUGGAAGGUUAAGGGGAGAGGUUAGCGCAAGCGAAGCUUUGAACUUAAGCCCCAGUAAACGGCGGCCGUAACUAUAACGGUCCUAAGGUAGCGAAAUUCCUUGUCGGGUAAGUUCCGACCCGCACGAAAGGCGUAAUGAUUUGGGCACUGUCUCAACAAUGCACCCGGUGAAAUUGAAAUACCAGUGAAGAUGCUGGUUACCUGCGCCAGGACGGAAAGACCCCAUGGAGCUUUACUCCAGCUUGAUACUGGGAUUCGGUAUUGCAUGUACAGGAUAGGUGGGAGACGGAGAAAUGGUAACGCCAGUUGCCAUGGAGUCGCUGUUGGGAUACCACCCUUGCAGUACUGGAUUUCUAACCAGCAGCCGUGAACCGGCUGGGGGACAAUGUCAGGUGGGGAGUUUGACUGGGGCGGUCGCUCCGAAAGGGUAUCGGAGGCGCUCAAAGGUUCCCUCAGAAUGGUUGGAAACCAUUCGAAGAGUGCAAAGGCAGAAGGGAGCUUGACUGUGACACCGACGGGUGGAGCAGGUACGAAAGUAGGACUUAGUGAUCCGGUGGUAUAAAGUGGGAUUGCCAUCGCUCAACGGAUAAAAGCUACCCUGGGGAUAACAGGCUUAUCACUCCCAAGAGUUCACAUCGACGGAGUGGUUUGGCACCUCGAUGUCGGCUCAUCGCAUCCUGGGGCUGAAGUAGGUCCCAAGGGUUGGGCUGUUCGCCCAUUAAAGCGGUACGCGAGCUGGGUUCAGAACGUCGUGAGACAGUUCGGUCCCUAUCCGGCGUGGGCGUAGGAUAUUUGAGAGGAGCUGCCCUUAGUACGAGAGGACCGGGGUGGACUGGCCGCUGGUGUAUCUGUUGUAUUACCAAAUGCAUAGCAGAGUAGCCAAGCCGGGACGGGAUAAACGCUGAAGGCAUCUAAGCGUGAAGCCCCCCUCAAGAUGAGAUAUCCCAACGAAAGUUGUAAGACCCCUUGAAGACGACGAGGUAGAUAGGACAGAGGUGGAAGUGUGGUAACACAUGUAGCUGACUGUUACUAAUCGGUCGAGGGCAUAACCAAG